Molecule: ribosomal RNA, 497 nt
Filed under: uncultured bacterium
Lineage: Bacteria
Description: partial 16S ribosomal RNA
Rfam family: Bacterial small subunit ribosomal RNA
Source: RNAcentral
GAUGAACGCUGGCGGCGUGCCUAAUACAUGCAAGUCGAGCGAACAGACGAGGAGCUUGCUCCUCUGACGUUAGCGGCGGACGGGUGAGUAACACGUGGAUAACCUACCUAUAAGACUGGGAUAACUUCGGGAAACCGGAGCUAAUACCGGAUAAUAUAUUGAACCGCAUGGUUCAAUAGUGAAAGACGGUUUUGCUGUCACUUAUAGAUGGAUCCGCGCCGCAUUAGCUAGUUGGUAAGGUAACGGCUUACCAAGGCAACGAUGCGUAGCCGACCUGAGAGGGGGUACGGCCACAGUGGGAGUGAGCGGCGGUCCAGAGUCCUACGGGAGGCCGCGGUAGGGAAGCGUCGGAGAUGGGCGAAAGCUUGACGGAGCAGCGCCGGGUUGGUGAUGAAGGUCUGCGGAUCGUAAAACUCUGUUAGUAGUGAAGAACAAAUGUGUAAGGAACUAUGCACGUCUUGACGGUACCUGCUGAGAAAGCCACGGCUAACUACGUG